RNAcentral lists this ribosomal RNA (1093 nucleotides) under uncultured bacterium. RNAcentral's name for it is "bacterial SSU rRNA". It matches the Rfam family "Bacterial small subunit ribosomal RNA", at positions 61 to 1129 of the family's 1533-position model. The record is from RNAcentral.
GUCGAGCGGAACGAGUUAUCUGAACCUUCGGGGAACGAUAACGGCGUCGAGCGGCGGACGGGUGAGUAAUGCCUAGGAAAUUGCCCUGAUGUGGGGGAUAACCAUUGGAAACGAUGGCUAAUACCGCAUAAUGCCUACGGGCCAAAGAGGGGGACCUUCGGGCCUCUCGCGUCAGGAUAUGCCUAGGUGGGAUUAGCUAGUUGGUGAGGUAAGGGCUCACCAAGGCGACGAUCCCUAGCUGGUCUGAGAGGAUGAUCAGCCACACUGGAACUGAGACACGGUCCAGACUCCUACGGGAGGCAGCAGUGGGGAAUAUUGCACAAUGGGCGCAAGCCUGAUGCAGCCAUGCCGCGUGUGUGAAGAAGGCCUUCGGGUUGUAAAGCACUUUCAGUCGUGAGGAAGGUAGUGUAGUUAAUAGCUGCAUUAUUUGACGUUAGCGACAGAAGAAGCACCGGCUAACUCCGUGCCAGCAGCCGCGGUAAUACGGAGGGUGCGAGCGUUAAUCGGAAUUACUGGGCGUAAAGCGCAUGCAGGUGGUUUGUUAAGUCAGAUGUGAAAGCCCGGGGCUCAACCUCGGAAUUGCAUUUGAAACUGGCAGACUAGAGUACUGUAGAGGGGGGUAGAAUUUCAGGUGUAGCGGUGAAAUGCGUAGAGAUCUGAAGGAAUACCGGUGGCGAAGGCGGCCCCCUGGACAGAUACUGACACUCAGAUGCGAAAGCGUGGGGAGCAAACAGGAUUAGAUACCCUGGUAGUCCACGCCGUAAACGAUGUCUACUUGGGAGGUUGUGGCCUUGAGCCGUGGCUUUCGGAGCUAACGCGUUAAGUAGACCGCCUGGGGGAGUACGGUCGCAAGAUUAAAACUCAAAUGAAUUGACGGGGGCCCGCACAAGCGGUGGAACAUGGUGGUUUAAUUCGAUGCAACGCGAAGAACCUUACCUACUCUUGACAUCCAGAGAACUUUCCAGAAGAUGGAUUGGUGCCUUCGGGAACUCUGAGACAGGUGCUGCAUGGCUGUCGUCAGCUCGUGUUGUGAAAUGGUUGGGUUAAGUCCCGCAACGAGCGCAACCCUUAUCCUUGUUUGCCAGCGAGUAAU